UACGUAGGGGGCAAGCGUUAUCCGGAUUUACUGGGUGUAAAGGGGGCGCAGAUGGCGAUGCAAGCCAGGAGUGAAAGCCCGGGGCCCAACCCCGGGACUGCUCUUGGAACUGCGUGGCUGGAGUGCAGGAGGGGCAGGCGGAAUUCCUGGUGUAGCGGUGAAAUGCGUAGAUAUCAGGAGGAACACCGGUGGCGAAGGCGGCCUGCUGGACUGCAACUGACGUUGAGGCCCGAAAGCGUGGGGAGCAAACAGG
Molecule: ribosomal RNA, 253 nt
Filed under: uncultured bacterium
Lineage: Bacteria
Description: partial 16S ribosomal RNA
Rfam family: Bacterial small subunit ribosomal RNA
Source: RNAcentral